Molecule: ribosomal RNA, 457 nt
Filed under: uncultured bacterium
Lineage: Bacteria
Description: bacterial SSU rRNA
Rfam family: Bacterial small subunit ribosomal RNA
Source: RNAcentral
CCUANGGGUGGCAGCAGUGAGGAAUAUUGCGCAAUGGACGAAAGUCUGACGCAGCGACGCCGCGUGGAGGAUGAAGGUCUUCGGAUCGUAAACUCCUGUUAAGUGGGAAGAAAUACCAACUAUGUUGGGGAUGACGGUACCACUAGAGAAAGCACCGGCUAACUUCGUGCCAGCAGCCGCGGUAAGACGAGGGGUGCAAACGUUAUUCGGAAUCACUGGGCGUAAAGGGUGCGUAGACGGCUUAUUAAGCUCGUUGUUAAAUUCUCCGGCUCAACCGGAGGCUUGCGAUGGGAACUGAUAGGCUAGAGGAUGGAAGAGAGAAGUGGAAUUCCCGGAGUAGCGGUAAAAUGCGUAGAUCUCGGGAGGAACACCGAUGGCGAAGGCAGCUUCUUGGUCCAUUUCUGACGUUGAGGCACGAAAGCGUGGGUAGCAAACAGGAUUAGAUACCCGUNUANUC